RNAcentral lists this long non-coding RNA (1572 nucleotides) under Monodelphis domestica (gray short-tailed opossum). RNAcentral's name for it is "lncRNA (ENSMODG00000041923.1)". Lineage: Eukaryota; Metazoa; Chordata; Mammalia; Didelphimorphia; Didelphidae. The record is from RNAcentral.
UUGGAGUGGCUCCCCUCUUGAGGGCCAUCUUGUGCCUGUGACUGCUCUUGGGGAUGCUGCAACUUUUUGGAAUGGCACUGUGGCUGCUCUUGGGGAUGCUGAGACUUUUUGGAAUGGCCCCUUUCUUGGGGAUGCUCCUGGGAGUGUGGCCUCUCUUUGGAAUGGCAUUGCUCUUGGGAAUGUGGCUGCUCUUGGGAGCCCUCCUGGGGCUACAGCUGCUCUUAGGGAUUCUGGGAUUUUUUGGAAUGGCACCACUCUUGGGGAUAUUCAUGAGAGUGGUGCCGCUCUUGAGGGCCCUCUUGUGGCUGUGGCUGGUCUUGGGGAAGCUGCAGCUUUUUGGAAAGGCGCUGCUCUUGUGGGCGUUCUUAGAGAAGUUGCUGUUCUCUUAUACACUUCAACUUUUUGGAAUGGGGCCCCUCUUGGGGAUGCUCUUGGGAGUGUGGCUGCUCUUUGGAAUGUGCCGCUCUUGGGGGCACUCUUGGGAAUGUUUCCACUCUUUGAAAUGGUGCUGCUCUUUGGGUCCCUCUUGGGGCUGUGGAUGCCUCGGGGGAUGCUGCGACUUUAUGGUGUGACUUCAUGAAAAGGCGCCGCUCUUGGGGAUGCUCUUGGGAGUGUGGCCUCUCUUUCGAAUGGUGCCGCUCUUGGGGGCUCUCUUGGGGCUGAGGCUGCUCUUGCGGUGCUACGACUUUUGGGAAUGGUGCCUUGGCUGCUCUUGGGGAUGCUGAGACUUCUUGGAAUGGCGCAGCUCCUUGGAAUGGUACCUGUCCUAGGGGCCCUCUUGGGGCUGUGGCUGCUCUUGGGAAAGCUGUAGCUUUUUGGAAUGGCAACCCAUUUGGGGGUGCUCUUGGGAGUGUGGCCGAUCUUGGGAAUAGUUAUUCUUCGGGGAGCUCUUGGGAGUGUGGCGCCUCUGGAAUGGAGCCGCUCUUGUGAAUGUGGCCGCUCUUUGGAAUGGCUCCGCUCUUCGGAGCCCUAUUGAGGUUGUGGCUGCUCUUGGGAAAGCUGUAGCUUUUUGGAAUGGCAACCCGUUCGGGGGUGCUCUUGAGAGUGUGGCCGAUCUUUGGAAUAGCUAUUCUUCGGGGAGCUAUUGGGAGUGUGGCCCCUCGGAAGGAGCCGCUCUUGUGAAUGUGGCCUCUCUUUGGAAUGGCUCUGCUCUUCGGGGCCCUAUUGGGGCUGUGGCUGCUCUUGGGGAUGCUGUACUCUUUCGGAAUGGCGCCCCUCUUAAGAUUAUGGCUGCACAUGGGGGUGUUCUUGGGGUUGAGGCUGCUAUAGAUUUUGCGAAUUGAGCUACUCUUGGGGAUGCUCUUUGGAGUAUGGCCUCUCUUUGGAAUGCACCGCUCUUUGGAAUGGCACCAUUCUUUGGGUCCCACUUGGGGUUGUGGCUUCCACUGGGGAUUCUGUGACAUUUGGGAAUGGCGCCAUGGCUGCUCUUGGGGAUGAAGCGACUUUUUAGAAUGGUGCCGCUCUUGGGCAUGUGGCUGCUCUUUGCAAUUGCGCCGGUUUUCUAUGCCCUCAUGGGGCUGUGGCUGCUCUUGUGGAAGCUGCAUCUUUUUGGAAUGGCACCACUCUUGGGGG